This 460-nucleotide ribosomal RNA is filed under the name uncultured bacterium. Its description in RNAcentral is "partial 16S ribosomal RNA". It matches the Rfam family "Bacterial small subunit ribosomal RNA", at positions 338 to 795 of the family's 1533-position model. The record is from RNAcentral.
CCUACGAGCGACUGCAGUGAGGAAUAUUGGUCAAUGGGCGCAAGCCUGAACCAGCCAAGUCGCGUGAGGGAUGACGGUCCUAUGGAUUGUACACCUCUUUUGUCGGGGAGCAAGGCCCGCCACGUGUGGCGGGAAGGAGAGUACCCGAAGUAAAAGCAUCGGCUAACUACGUGCCAGCCGCCGCGGACAUACGGGGGUUGCGAGCGUUAUCCGGAUUUAUUGGGUUUAAAGGGUUCGUAGGCGGAAGGUUAAGUCAGCGGUCAAAUGUCGGUGCUCAACACCGGCCUGCCGUGGAAACUGGUCUUCUUGAGUGAGCGAGAGGUAUGCGGAAUGCGUGGUGUAGCGGUGAAAGGCAUAGAUAGCACGCAGAACUCUGAUUGCGAAGGCAGCAGACCGGCGCUCAACUGACGCUGAGGCACGAAAGCGUGGGGAUCGAACAGGAUUAGAUACCCGAGUAGUC